CGGACACCCGAAUUUAAUUUGGGCACCCGAUGUGUUGAAUUUUGUACUGGGCCGUGUGAAUGGGCUUUUGUGUUGUCAACUAAUGAAUUUGGCCAAGCCCGAACAUUGAGACGAACUGUCUUGAAGUGGGCUUCGAUAUUUGUGGAUGAGUGAUUCAACAGGCCCAUGUAUUGGACACCCAUCUUUCUUUCCAGGCCCUUUAGCUUUAAUUUGCGUCAGGCCCAAUUGCAAAGCCCGCUCCACCUGUAAGACCAAACUGAUAGACUCUUGUCUUCACAUCAGAAAGCUGGGAUCUUUCGUAGUCGCCUCGAGCUGGUACAGAUCGUGUUUGGAGAUGGAAGCUAACUCUUGCAGUUCGCUUUGGAGAGGGAAACAUGAAGCCUGGCUCUGCAUAAAUAGCGGGUUGCAUGCCCGUGAUGCUGCAAUUACGAACUGGGUAAAGCCUCCAUCUUUCUUAUUUCUUCUCAAUGGAUUUCGAUCAACCGAAACACCCACUAAGAUUUCCGAAUUUAUUUCUUUGCUGCUGCAAAUUCGAUGUGGCAAUUGGACGAACUUCUAUUGCGGCAACUCGUCGGUCAGCUGGUGUACAAAGAGCUUGCGACCCAUUUUUUUGGUUUCACACCACCGCCAAGCUUUGUCAUGCAAUUUUGUUUGAAACGUGGUCGUAAAGGAUGAGACUUUGAGAGACAAACUUUUGUUCUUGUUUCAGUUUCUGUUUGCUGAGACCAUAACUUUGACAUUGGCUUCAAGGAAUAUUUGUAUGAUGACCAUCCGCAACUUUGGCUGUUCGUGGACAACCUCCGUUAAAGCGAUAACAGCGUCAUCCUUUGGGGGAAUUUAGCAUUGAAGCUGGGCUGUUCAUGAACAACCAGAUUUUUCAAUGCAUUAAGUUUGCAAGGGAGGAAUUUUGAGCAUUGAAACGAGGCCGUUCGUGAACAACCGUUUUGUUUCAUUGCGUUAUGAAUUUGAGAGCAGCAACAAUGUCAUUUCGACGAAGAACUCUAAUAACAAUGGUCGUUCAUGAACGGCCUAUUAGAGCUUUGGAGGUCACAAGACAUAGAGGAUUAAUUGGAGAGGCUUCACAGGGAAGGCAGAUAUAUACCUGCAGCUUUCUUUCUCUGGUAGCUCUUCUUCUCUGUUUCGUUUUGCUGCGUCUCCUCCUCUGCUUUGUGUUUCUCUUAUUCUCUCUGUAUUUCUUUUUUUAUCUCAGCCCUCUGUAGUGUUUUUUCCCUCCUCUACUGCGUAUAUCUUUUGUAUUUCUAUCCCCCUUUCUCUUCGGUGUUGCUGCCUAUAUAUAUAGUGGUCAUUGGAUAGGUGUAACCGGGUAGUGAUGACCACUUUGAAUAACAAGUCUAUCCUUAUCACUUGUUAUCCUCAUGUAUAUUUGAAUUGGUCAACAACUUGACCGAGACUUGAAUCAAGGCUAACAGAACAUUAUCUCCUC
Molecule: long non-coding RNA, 1444 nt
Organism: Rosa rugosa (rugosa rose)
Lineage: Eukaryota; Viridiplantae; Streptophyta; Magnoliopsida; Rosales; Rosaceae
Exons: 2
Source: RefSeq, a predicted model, not a curated record